GGCGUCUCCGAGGGGUGCCCUGAAACGGGCUGAGAUGGUGUAAACCGGACCCUUUGAACCUGAUCUGGGUCAUGCCAGCGAAGGGACGGUGGCAAUGGCUUUU
RNAcentral lists this non-coding RNA (103 nucleotides) under Shimwellia blattae. RNAcentral describes it as "TPP sequence". It matches the Rfam family "TPP riboswitch aptamer (THI element)". From Rfam's summary of the family: Vitamin B(1) in its active form thiamin pyrophosphate (TPP) is an essential coenzyme that is synthesised by coupling of pyrimidine and thiazole moieties in bacteria. The previously detected thiamin-regulatory element, thi box was extended, resulting in a new, highly conserved RNA secondary structure, the THI element, which is widely distributed in eubacteria and also occurs in some archaea. Analysis of operon structures identified a large number of new candidate thiamin-regulated genes, mostly transporters, in various prokaryotic organisms. The record is from RNAcentral. RNAcentral also lists the same sequence under 1 other name. Lineage: Bacteria; Pseudomonadati; Pseudomonadota; Gammaproteobacteria; Enterobacterales; Enterobacteriaceae.